This 507-nucleotide ribosomal RNA is filed under the name uncultured bacterium. Its description in RNAcentral is "partial 16S ribosomal RNA". It matches the Rfam family "Bacterial small subunit ribosomal RNA", at positions 28 to 507 of the family's 1533-position model. The record is from RNAcentral.
GACGAACGCUGGCGGCGUGCUUAACACAUGCAAGUCGAACGGGCCUUGUCCCCUUUUUUUUGGGGGUGGGGUUAGUGGCGAACGGGUGAGUAACACGUGAGUAACCUGCCCCUCACUUCUGGAUAACCGCUUGAAAGGGUGGCUAAUACGGGGUGUUCUGGCCUGCUCGCAUGGGUGGGUUUGGAAAGAUUCGACCGGUUUUGGUUGUUUUGGUGGGGGAUGGGCUCGCGGCCUAUCAGCUUGCUGGUGGGGUGAUGGCCUGCCAAGGCUUUGACGGGUAGCCGGCCUGAGAGGGUGGGCGGUCACACUGGGACUGAGACACGGCCCAGACUCCGACGGGAGGCAGCAGUGGGGAAUAUUGCACAAUGGGCGCAAGCCUGAUGCAGCGACGCCGCGUGAGGGAUGGAGGCCUUCGGGUUGUGAACCUCUUUCGCCAGUGAAGAAGGUCCUGCUCUUUGUGGUGGGGUUGACGGUAGCUGGGUUAAUGAAGCGCCGGCUAACUACGUG